UACGUAGGGUGCGAGCGUUAAUCGGAAUUACUGGGCGUAAAGCGUGCGCAGGCGGCCCUUUAAGUCAGGUGUGAAAGCCCUGGGCUUAACCUAGGAAUGGCGCUUGAAACUGGGGGGCUAGAGUGCGGCAGAGGGGGGUGGAAUUCCUGGUGUAGCGGUGAAAUGCGUAGAGAUCAGGAGGAACACCGAUGGCGAAGGCAGCCCCCUGGGUCGACACUGACGCUCAGGCACGAAAGCGUGGGGAGCAAAC
Molecule: ribosomal RNA, 250 nt
Filed under: uncultured beta proteobacterium
Lineage: Bacteria; Pseudomonadati; Pseudomonadota; Betaproteobacteria
Description: partial 16S ribosomal RNA
Rfam family: Bacterial small subunit ribosomal RNA
Source: RNAcentral